AUGCUAAGGAACUCCAGGAAAGCCGACGCCUCUCUACAGAUGCUCAUAUGCUGGGAGUUUUGGAAUGAGAGGAAUGCUAGGGCGUUCCGUUCCAAAGCUUCCCUUCCUUCCAAAGUGUCUGCGACGAUUAAGCAUGGGGCGAAGACCUGGGUUGUCAUCGGGGCUAGAUUUUUGGGCAACUUAAUUCCGGAAGAGUGA
Molecule: ribosomal RNA, 198 nt
Filed under: Triticum aestivum (bread wheat)
Lineage: Eukaryota; Viridiplantae; Streptophyta; Magnoliopsida; Poales; Poaceae
Description: partial small subunit ribosomal RNA
Source: RNAcentral